UCCAAGCGUAAUGGCAAUCCCUCAUUUGAGGGAAUAAGGGAAUGGCCAUUCCCAACCCACCCCCAGUAAUCGGAUUCCCAUUCCAGCCGGUUAAAAGGAAAAUGACCGUAAAACCCCUCAAACCCCCGAUUCAAGUUUGCAACCUUCUUUCUCCUCCCUCUCGUCACUCCCUCCUUCAAAACCUUCUGCAGCUCGGCGGCUGAACUCUGAAGAUCCGACCUGUAUUACUCUGGCCAGAUCUGCUCUACUCUAUUGGGAUCGAUCUACUUCUUCACUGCUACCAUAACUAGUUUUUCACACCAGUCAAUCCAGGCAAUCGCACUCUGGAGUUUAUCCUGACUAUACCAAUGAAUCAUCUAAUCUCGCUUCAGGGAGGCUAAAUGCGGAAGCUGUGACAUUGCUGCUUGAUAAAUGGUGGGGAUCUGGCAUUGUCCAUGCAACAGUUUGGAUGUCAGAUCAUAAAGAUGUCUAUAUUGGCUCUGCUAACAAUGACUGGAAAUCUCUCUCUCAGGCUAAGUUGGUUUAGUGUUGCAGAAAAUGUUCGCUCAAGGGAUUGCUCUUAAUCUUGACUUCGCAUUUUAGAAGUGAAAAUCAUGGAACCCAGAUGCGUCUUUCAGUUUAUACACUUUCUUACUUAUCUCACCCCAUAAUUGGUUCAUGAGGUUAGAUGGUUCAGAUGGAACUCACUGUAAAAAAUAUGGGUUCAGAUGCUAGAAGGUUAGGAUUUAUUCAUCAAUCACCAAAUUACAACCAAAUUCUAACCUUUUAAGCUGAAGUUCAAUUGUAGAAGAUGAAAUGUAGGAGUGGCAUUGUAUUAUAGAUGCAAGAUUUUUGUUUUUAAACAUUCAUGUUGUACUAGUAAUAUUUCCACCAUUAUGAGAGAUUUUUGUUUAUUUA
Non-coding RNA from Nelumbo nucifera (sacred lotus), 897 nucleotides. NCBI's taxonomy places the organism in Eukaryota, Viridiplantae, Streptophyta, Magnoliopsida, Proteales, Nelumbonaceae. The record is from RefSeq and is a predicted model, not a curated record.